UUUUUAGACACAAAAAGAUAUAAGAUCAGAUACCCCUCCCCCUUUUUCGAUAGAACGGCGCAACCUAGGGCUCCCCUCUCUUCUCCAUUACUCAUCUUCAACUACACAGACACUAGACCUAGGACGAUAUCAAAUCCCUUACCCAUUUUGAGAACUGGAGCGUCGUUUCCCUUUGGUCUGGUCCCUCAUUUCUCGCUCAGCAACGGAGAGGAGAAGAUCAGACCUUAUCCACGAAGAGCUUUAAUUUCCUUCACCAAAAACCAUCCCCUAAACCUCCAUUGAAACACCUUCGAUAUACCAUGUAGAAACUCACAAAAACCAGCCGAAAUACCUCUGAAAAAAGCCAUUGAAGCAGCUCCGAAGCUUCCCCAUUAAUCGUGUCGAAGCUCUAUUACCCAAGGUUGCCGGCGAGCCUUUUUUGGCAGCCUUCGCUAUUGCUCUUCUCUACUAUUACAUCACCUCUGUCAUUUCUGGAUGUUCGAGUUUUGUUCCAAAUUUAGAAGAUGAAGUUGUGUUUUGUUGUUUCUACUUCCUUUGAGCUCCGUUCGAGUUAAUUUAUGUCGUUAUUUGGCCUAUUGUAGCUUGUGCUCUGUUCGAUCAGUUUUUAAUGGUGGGGUUCUGCCCAAUAUUCACCAGAAUUUGUUUUCCUAAGAAGAUUGGCAAAAAGGGAAAGCUGAAUUUGGCUCUGUUUCUCAGGAAUAUUAGAUAUGUAGGUGUUGUUUCAGGAGAUUGGGAAGUGAACUUUUAUUCUUUGAUAAAUGGUUAAUGUGAAUGACAACUUUGUUUCCUCAUCUUAUUAUUAUGUUGAGCGAUGUAGAAUUUAGUGAAGGAAAGUUAAUGGAUUUCCUUUAAUUGCCAGAAUUUCUAGUUUCUCUUGCUUCUGUGUUCA
Molecule: long non-coding RNA, 889 nt
Organism: Nicotiana tabacum (common tobacco)
Lineage: Eukaryota; Viridiplantae; Streptophyta; Magnoliopsida; Solanales; Solanaceae
Source: RefSeq, a predicted model, not a curated record